RNAcentral lists this ribosomal RNA (440 nucleotides) under uncultured bacterium. Its description in RNAcentral is "partial 16S ribosomal RNA". It matches the Rfam family "Bacterial small subunit ribosomal RNA", at positions 339 to 795 of the family's 1533-position model. The record is from RNAcentral.
CUACGGGUGGCUGCAGUGAGGAAUAUUGCACAAUGGGGGGAACCCUGAUGCAGCAACGCCGCGUGGAGGAUGACGCAUUUCGGUGUGUAAACUCCUUUUAUAUGUCAAGAAAAUGACGGUAGCAUAUGAAUAAGCACCGGCUAACUCCGUGCCAGGCAGCCGCGGUAAUACGGAGGGUGCAAGCGUUACUCGGAAUCACUGGGCGUAAAGGACGCGUAGGCGGGUUGGAAAGUCAGGUGUGAAAUCCUACAGCUUAACUGUAGAACUGCACUUGAAACUUCUAAUCUAGAGUAUGGGAGGGGGAGAUGGAAUUAGUGGUGUAGGGGUAACAUCCGUAGAUAUCACUAGGAAUACCUAAAGCGAAGGCGAUCUCCUGGAACAUUACUGACGCUAAGGCGUGAAAGCGUGGGGAGCAAACAGGAUUAGAUACCCCGGUAGUC